This 505-nucleotide ribosomal RNA is filed under the name uncultured Acaulospora. Its description in RNAcentral is "SSU rRNA". It matches the Rfam family "Eukaryotic small subunit ribosomal RNA", at positions 569 to 1074 of the family's 1831-position model. The record is from RNAcentral. Lineage: Eukaryota; Fungi; Glomeromycota; Glomeromycetes; Diversisporales; Acaulosporaceae.
AGCAGCCGCGGUAAUUCCAGCUCCAAUAGCGUAUAUUAAAGUUGUUGCAGUUAAAAAGCUCGUAGUUGAAUUUCGGGAUUUGUCAGUUGGUCGGGCUUCACUGUCCGUAUUGACUUGAUGGAUUCUUACCUUCUGAAUAACCAGCAUGCUAUUAAGUUAGUGCGUUGGGGAAGCAGAUCUAUUACCUUGAAAAAAUUAGAGUGCUUAAAGCGAGCUAGUGCUUGAAUAGAUUAGCAUGGAAUAAUAAAAUAGGACGGCAUGGUUCUAUUUUGUUGGUUUCUAGGAUCACCGUAAUGAUUAAUAGGGAUAGUUGGGGGCAUUAGUAUUCAAUUGUCAGAGGUGAAAUUCUUGGAUUUAUUGAAGACUAACUUCUGCGAAAGCAUUUGCCAAGGAUGUUUUCAUUAAUCAAGAACGAAAGUUAGGGGAUCGAAGACGAUCAGAUACCGUCGUAGUCUUAACCAUAAACUAUGCCGACUAGGAAUCGGACGAUGUUAAUUUAUAAUGA